Molecule: ribosomal RNA, 497 nt
Filed under: uncultured bacterium
Lineage: Bacteria
Description: partial 16S ribosomal RNA
Rfam family: Bacterial small subunit ribosomal RNA
Source: RNAcentral
GAUGAACGCUGGCGGCGUGCUUAACACAUGCAAGUCGAGCGAACAGACCAUGCGCUUGUUCCUUGCUCGUUUGCCGCGCAGGUGUGUAAAACACGUGUAUCCUCCCCCUAUCAGUCUGGGAUAUCCACGGGAAACCGGCUAUUACCCCGGAUAAUAUCCUGCUCCACGUGGUUCAUUAGUAAAAGACGGCUUUGCGGGAUCGUCUCGCUGCUUCUCCGCUGCUUUAGCUAGUUGUUGAGGUAACGGCUUAUCAAGGCUACGAUGCGUAGCCGACUUGAGAGGGUGAUCGGCCACACUGGAACUGAGACACGGUCCAGACUCCUACGGGAGGCAGCAGUAGGGAAUCUGCCGCAAUGGGCGAAAGCCUGACGGAGCAACGCCGCGUGUGUGAUGGAGGUCUUCGGAUCGUAAAACUCUGUUAUUAGGGAAGAACAAAUGUGUAAGUAACUAUGCACGGCUUGACGGUACCUAAUCAGAAAGCCACGGCUAACUACGUG